Molecule: ribosomal RNA, 468 nt
Filed under: uncultured bacterium
Lineage: Bacteria
Description: partial 16S ribosomal RNA
Rfam family: Bacterial small subunit ribosomal RNA
Source: RNAcentral
GACGAACGCUGGCGGCGUGCUUAACACAUGCAAGUCGAACGGAAAGGCCCUGCUUUUGUGGGGUGCUCGAGUGGCGAACGGGUGAGUAACACGUGAGUAACCUGCCCUUGACUUUGGGAUAACUUCAGGAAACUGGGGCUAAUACCGGAUAGGAUCUCCUGCUGCAUGGUGGGGGUUGGAAAGUUUCGGCGGUUGGGGAUGGACUCGCGGCUUAUCAGCUUGUUGGUGGGGUAGUGGCUUACCAAGGCUUUGACGGGUAGCCGGCCUGAGAGGGUGACCGGCCACAUUGGGACUGAGAUACGGCCCAGACUCCUACGGGAGGCAGCAGUGGGGAAUAUUGCACAAUGGGAGGAAGCCUGAUGCAGAAACGCCGCGUGCGGGAUGACGGCCUUCGGGUUGUAAACCGCUUUCGCCUGUGACGAAGCGUGAGUGACGGUAAUGGGUAAAGAAGCACCGGCUAACUACGUG